CCUACGGGUGGCUGCAGUGGGGAAUAUUGCACAAUGGGCGCAAGCCUGAUGCAGCCAUGCCGCGUGUGUGAAGAAGGCCUUCGGGUUGUAAAGCGCUUUCAGCGGGGAGGAAGGCGUUAAGGUUAAUAACCUUGGCGAUUGACGUUACCCGCAGAAGAAGCACCGGCUAACUCCGUGCCAGCAGCCGCGGUAAUACGGAGGGUGCAAGCGUUAAUCGGAAUUACUGGGUGUAAAGCGCACGCAGGCGGUCUGUCAAGUCGGAUGUGAAAUCCCCGGGCUCAACCUGGGAACUGCAUUCGAAACUGGCAGGCUAGAGUCGUGUAGAGGGGGGUAGAAUUCCAGGUGUAGCGGUGACAUGCGUAGAGAUCUGGAGGAAUACCGGUGGCGAAGGCGGCCCCCUGGACAAAGACUGACGCUCAGGUGCGAAAGCGUGGGGAGCAAACAGGAUUAGAUACCUAGUAGUC
Molecule: ribosomal RNA, 464 nt
Filed under: uncultured Klebsiella sp.
Lineage: Bacteria; Pseudomonadati; Pseudomonadota; Gammaproteobacteria; Enterobacterales; Enterobacteriaceae
Description: bacterial SSU rRNA
Rfam family: Bacterial small subunit ribosomal RNA
Source: RNAcentral